CCAGCAGCCGCGGUAAUACGGAGGAUGCGAGCGUUAUCCGGAUUUAUUGGGUUUAAAGGGUGCGUAGGCGGUUGUAUAAGUCAGCGGUGAAAUUUUCCGGCUUAACCGGGAGACUGCCGUUGAUACUGUAUAGCUUGAAUGCGGUUGCUGUGAGUGGAAUGUGUGGUGUAGCGGUGAAAUGCAUAGAUAUCACACAGAAUAUCGAUUGCGAAGGCAGCUCACAAAGCCGUUAUUGACGCUGAUGCACGAAAGUGUGGGGAUCAAACAGGAUUAGAUACCCUGGUAGUCCACACUGUAAACGAUGAUAACUAGCUGUCGGCGAUACAUAGUCGGUGGUCAAGCGAAAGCGAUAAGUUAUCCACCUGGGGAGUACGACCGCAAGGUUGAAACUCAAAGGAAUUGACGGGGGCCCGCACAAGCGGAGGAACAUGUGGUUUAAUUCGAUGAUACGCGAGGAACCUUACCCGGGCUCGAACGGUGCAGUAAUAUGGUAGAGAUAUCAUAGCUAGCAAUAGACUGUAUCGAGGUGCUGCAUGGUUGUCGUCAGCUCGUGCCGUGAGGUGUCGGCUUAAGUGCCAUAACGAGCGCAACCCUUGUCGUUAGUUACCAUCAAGUAAAGUUGGGGACUCUAGCGAGACUGCCACCGUAAAGUGUGAGGAAGGGGGGGAUGACGUCAAAUCAGCACGGCCCUUACGUCCCGGGCGACACACGUGUUACAAUGGUAGGUACAGAGGGCCGCUAUCCAGUGAUGGAGUGC
RNAcentral lists this ribosomal RNA (757 nucleotides) under bacterium B1C2-8. RNAcentral describes it as "bacterial SSU rRNA". It matches the Rfam family "Bacterial small subunit ribosomal RNA", at positions 508 to 1268 of the family's 1533-position model. The record is from RNAcentral.